This is a long non-coding RNA of Daphnia pulex (common water flea), 1529 nucleotides long. RefSeq lists it as uncharacterized. NCBI's taxonomy places the organism in Eukaryota, Metazoa, Arthropoda, Branchiopoda, Diplostraca, Daphniidae. The record is from RefSeq and is a predicted model, not a curated record. The transcript is spliced from 10 exons.
GUGCAGUUACCGCGCCGAUUUACACACAAAAGAUCAGUAAGCACAGUUGCCAGUUGCCAAAAAGUGAAGUGAUCGCUCAAAUUGGUCGGUCUUUCUUAAUGAAUAUGGCAACGUUUUCCGCAGUCCAGUUCCAGAUAUUAGGUUAACCGUCAAGUUAGCCUUGAGAAAGUCUAUAAAUAGUCUCGUCACUUGAUAUUCAAGCAUGGUCAAAAUUUUGAACAAGAGUUUGAGCUGCAUGUGCCGAAGAAGCAAUUGGAAAAUGGUGUGAGAUUUCGAAUAUGUAAUUUGCAGGGAAAUUAUUUUCAAGAUGGUAUGAUCUUUGUGCAGCAGAAAAUCUGAAGCAACUUCAUCUGUGAAUGUGAGGUUAGAUAAUCUAGCUACAGGUUUAUCUGGAUGCUAGUCUUUGAGAGGUCAGCUGGCUGCCUUCGUUGGGAAUUCUUUGGGUCUUCCGAUAGAACCAAGCUAAAGGUGUAGUUGUAUGGUUGUGGCAAUAAGCUUCUGGUCUCUGAGGAUGCCUGGAUGCAAGUCUGCAGUUGAGGUAAGGUUUGUUUUUACUCGUUUCACAUAUGCAUCGUCGAUUAGUGAUCUCUCUCCAUUUUGGGGUUUCACAUUUGCAACGGCGCUAGAUCAAUGCUGUACGUACCAGCUGGUGACUUUAUUCAAUGAGGUGCACCUUCUAGAAUACUACUGACACCCCUUUUAAGAUCUCACUUGUGGACUUGUUUUGUAACUGCUGAUUUUAAACAUUUGCAGAUGAUUUAUUCUCAAAUAAAAAUGGCACCUUCGUUUCCCUACCGACUGCUAGUUUCAAGGUGGGUGAGUUUCAUUGGUUCGUUUUUGUUUCCGAGAAUCUUACCCCACCAUUGCAAUCUGUCGUUGAUUGGUGUUUGAAAGUUCUCGUAGAUAAAAGUGGAAUAUUCAUCCACUGAAUGAUCUCCGUGUUCAUAUCGGUCAGAUUUUAUUCCAACAGUUUUCUUUCUAGUAUUUUUUCGUUUGCCAUGAAUUGGUUUAGAUUCUCCUGUUCUUUUUUUCCAGGGUUUCACCUAAUGAUACUUUCAACAUAUUUAAUGGAAUUCUUUGUUGAGGGAUUGAUGGAUUUCAUUGUUUGAAAUGGUAUGGUUGGGUGACUUACUGCAAGUUUCUUAAUAUAACUGACACUGGCUGCCUUUUUGGUGUUAAGGAAGUAACGACUUGAGGUAGUCUUGGGAAUCAUACCUCAGUGCCUGAGGAAGCCUGGAUCGUCUGCUCUUGAAGGUGAUUUAUUUUCGGGCUUGAGCUGAUGCACAUGGUGUCUUGUUUCCAUAUCGACUGCUUGCUUCAAGUGCGUUCGUCGCUUCAAGGCUUCUGGCUCCGUCGUGUCGGUUUUUUCACUUGCGUCGCUAGGGUUAACAAGGAACUGAAGCUGUCGGUCAACAGCAGGAUCGAUGCGUGUGGCCUGGUUCGCUAGGUAUUUGGAAAAUGGCCGUAGGUUCCAAUCGUGAUGUAGUAUUCGUAAUGUGUAUGGACUCGUUUGAAUAAACCUGUUUUGC